This is an RNA transcript of Peromyscus leucopus (white-footed mouse), 3133 nucleotides long. It is a transcript of the gene named androgen induced 1, with no coding region annotated. The record is from RefSeq and is a predicted model, not a curated record. The transcript is spliced from 7 exons. NCBI's taxonomy places the organism in Eukaryota, Metazoa, Chordata, Mammalia, Rodentia, Cricetidae.
CGCCGCGCCGCGCCCCGGUUCCCACGGCGCCCGGCAAGGCGAACCAACCAGCCCGCCCGCCCAGCAAGCAGCCCCGCCGGGCCAGGCCGCGCGCGAACAUGGCGCUUGUCCCCUGCCAGGUGCUGCGGGUGGCCAUCCUGCUGUCCUAUUGCUCCAUUCUGUGCAACUACAAGGCCAUCGAAAUGCCCUCCCAUCAGACCUACGGGGGGAGCUGGAAGUUCCUGACCUUCAUUGAUCUGGUCAUCCAGGCUGUCUUCUUCGGCAUCUGUGUGCUGACUGACCUCUCCACUCUCCUGACCAGAGACAGCGGGAAUCAGGAGCAAGAGCGACAGCUGAGGAAGCUCAUCUCUCUCCGGGACUGGACGCUGGCUGUGCUGGCCUUUCCUGUCGGGGUUUUCGUUGUUGCGGUGUUCUGGACCAUCUAUGCCUAUGACAGAGAGAUGAUAUACCCAAAAUUGCUUGACAACUUCAUCCCAGGGUGGCUGAACCACGGAAUGCACACAACGGUUUUACCCUUUAUAUUAAUCGAGAUGAGGACAUCCCACCACCAGUAUCCCAGCAGGAGCAGCGGACUCGCCGCCAUAUGCACCUUCUCCGUGGGCUAUAUAUUAUGGUUUCAGAAGCCAUACCUUGACUGAAUUAAAGGUCCUCCUGAAGUGUCCUUGCACUCCAAAGAUGUAAUCCAGCAUGGUGUUGAACUUGUGACUUUCCCUCCUCCACCACUUCAGCACACGUUUUUCAGCCUGUACUGCCCCCAGAAACUAAGAUGGCCACAACCAGACAAGGAGCUCUCCAAGUCACCCAGGCCAGGUGCCCAGCAAGCCCCAGGAACAGACUUAAUUUUCAAGUGUGAGUUCUGGAGGAUUGAGUUCUUAUGCUUAAGUACUAUGCAGGCUAACCAUAGUACUUAACUGUCACCCCAGCCCAAACUACCAUAUUUCGCUUAUGCAAUCUUCAAUUGCUGGACAGCUCUCUUAUUAGAAUUUUUUAGGGGGAGUGGGGAUAGGGGUAGAACUUGGAAAGUAUCAAAUGCACAAAUUAAAAAAAAGAGAGAGAGAGAAAGAGCUGAUGAAGAAACUGCAUGUUCUCAUAACAUGGGAAGUUCCUGGCUGAACGUAGAGAACACAGUAAGAAGAGAUUCUGUCUGCCUCCUCUUCAGAGCUCCACCUAUCAGCUCCAUUAAACUAGUUGAAGUUCCGUGAACUCACCUCAGAAACAUGUUCAUUGCUCUGCCUGAACUAUUUGUUUCUGGGCCUCACAAUCAUCCUUAAUCUAUCUUUGAAUCUCAGAUCAGAUAUUCUCUGGCACUGUGACUCACCUGUGGUUUCCCCUUUCAAGGACUCACAACAUCAUCAGUGGCACAGCUUUGACAAACCCACAUACCACACUACACCACAACUAGGCUGUAAUCUUAUGGGCAAGAGCUAUGGCACUUCUCCUAUUAGUCACAUGGCCUGGGUAAAUGCCUGGUGUCUGGAAGGAACUUGCUAAGUCAAAAUAAUUAAUAGUGGAACAAAGGGAUAGUGUAUAUUGUUGAAAACUUCCAUCCAGGCCGGCAUCACAAUGCACACCUGUAAUCCAAGCACUUAGAGGCAGAAGUAGGAAGAUUUUCAUGUCAAUGCCAGAGGAAGAUCUUGUCUUAAAAAAAAAAAAAAGGCAACAACUAAUAGAUUGCUUGAAUCCUUGCACUUUGAAGAAGCUAAGAUGCAGGGCAGAACAGAUGGUGGGUGCCUUUCCCACACACUGGCAGUUGCAUUUCCUCAGAGAUGAAUUUCUCUAUCUUUAAAAAAAAUAAGUGAGAACUAGAGUAAGUAAUGUUUGUCAAAACAUAUUUUUCUUUCUAGAAAACGUUGAGAAUGAGUCUUUAGAAAUGAUUAAAUUAUCAGUUUUCUCAUUUUUUUUGGUUGUCCACACCGAGCAUUCCACUCUCAAUGAUAAUUUCUCAACACAACUCGAAGAAAGAAACAGGCAGUUUGCAGAGCUACGCACUGGCGGAGACAUGCAUGGUAAUAACCAGGAUUUCACAUAUAACCCAUCCUUAGAAAUGGCCUCUGAAGGACUGGGAUGAUGGCUCCCUAGGAAUAGUGCUUGCCAUGCAAGUGGCAGUUUGAAUCCCCAGAACCCACAGAAGGACAGAUGUGGAAGUGCAUGCAUCUGUAAUUUCAGCAGUCCUGUAGGGAGCUGAAAGGUGGAGACUGGAGGAUCCCCAAAAGCUUGCAGGCCAGCUAGUUUAACAUACUCUGCAGCAAAAAUGAUACCCUGUCUCAAAAGGUAGAAGAUGGGGACAGACACCCAAUGUAUCCAUAUUCACAUUGUAGCAUACACACAAACAUAAACAAUACUAAUAAUAAUGAUGAUAAUAUUAAUAAUAAUAAUAAUAUAAUAAAUAGUAUCCUAACAGACACAGUUUACUAGCAGUUUGCCAACCCCUAACACCUACAAAGACUUGUUGACUCAGUUAAAAUUUUGACUAUGUACACUUACUUCUUAAAGGUACCAAAUUAUAGAAAUCAAAGUUUUUAAUCAUAUAUCAAAUCAGUAGAGAUGUUGCCUAGACUUGAGUAAAUGAAAUAGACACACAGAGAAAAUAAAAUUAGAUUUAUAACACUGUACACUAAGCCUUUGAAUGGAAGUUUCCUUGAAGGGGUCACCAUAUAGAAGUAACUGAUACACAGAUAAUUAAGGGAACUUGAUCUGUUGAACAAAAGCAGACAAUGAUUCUCUGUCUUUUAAUAGUUUAUUCCUCAGUAUGUGAUUCCUUAAAGCAAUGACGUUGUUUGUUUUUAUGAGAUAAAUAGUGGGAAAUGGUCUUGAAUUGGCUCUCACUUUGCAGUCCAAAGUGUAUCUUAAGGCAUGGUCCCCUGUGCCUAUCUAGUGAUGAGCUGAGACAAAAACAAUGUUCCUUCAGAUUGCCACAUUCAAGGUAUUCAUUAACGAUAUUUAUCAGGGCUCUUGUGAGGAAGCUGCAUGGCCAACAUUGACCAGCCCUGUAUUGUAUGAAGUUGCUAGCAUCUGAGUAACAGGGAGCUCACCGCAAAGGCCAUCAGGGUGUGCUGGAUACAUCAUGUCACCGGCAUGUGGGUGUACCCUUUCCUGGAACAUAUUGGCUCAGGAGCUAGGAUCAUCUUCUUUG